GUCCACGCCGUAAACGAUGGAUACUAGCUGUUGGGUUGCAAGACUCAGUGGCUAAGCGAAAGUGAUAAGUAUCCCACCUGGGGAGUACGUUCGCAAGAAUGAAACUCAAAGGAAUUGACGGGGGCCCGCACAAGCGGUGGAGCAUGUGGUUUAAUUCGAUGAUACGCGAGGAACCUUACCAAGGCUUAAAUGUAGAUUGACAGGACUGGAAACAGUUUUUUCUUCGGACAAUUUACAAGGUGCUGCAUGGUUGUCGU
This 257-nucleotide ribosomal RNA is filed under the name uncultured bacterium. RNAcentral describes it as "partial 16S ribosomal RNA". It matches the Rfam family "Bacterial small subunit ribosomal RNA", at positions 793 to 1055 of the family's 1533-position model. The record is from RNAcentral.